AGCUUUGUGCAGUGGCAGUAUCGUAGCCAAUGAGGAUUAUCCGAGGCACGAUUACUACUAAUUGAACACUUUUCCCAAUAAAGAUGACUUGAAAUACAGUCAGUCUCUCUGAAGAGA
Molecule: small nuclear RNA, 117 nt
Filed under: Dasypus novemcinctus (nine-banded armadillo)
Lineage: Eukaryota; Metazoa; Chordata; Mammalia; Cingulata; Dasypodidae
Description: U4 spliceosomal RNA (ENSDNOG00000039265.1)
Rfam family: U4 spliceosomal RNA
About the family: U4 small nuclear RNA (U4 snRNA) is a component of the major U2-dependent spliceosome. The structure of U4 snRNA from yeast and human has been reported.
Source: RNAcentral